UCCGCGAAAUAGAAAGACCAUAUACAUAAACUAGAAUUGCAAUUCUGUGUUAUUAAUAAUCGUAUAUAUCAGAACUGUAAUACGUAAUAUACCUUACAUAUGCCAUGAGGUACCAAACUGUGUUUAAUAAAAGCUGGAUGGAAAAAAAAAACAUUGGACACGACAUCAGGAAUCAAAUGUUAAUUAAAUGUUUUAACUCAUGUUACAAUAUAUUAAUAAAUAUGUUGUAUGAAUACAAGAUAAUUUAUUAAAGAUAAUGCAGGAAAUUAAAGAAAUAAAUAAAAUAAGUGCUUUAACUUUAAUGUAGUCUUCCGGAAGUGAGCUCAAAAAACUGACGAGACGGGAAAAAAAAGAGAAAGAGACGUACUCUUAACGCGGUGCGACAGCUUUAAGAACGAUAUAAAAGAGUAAUAUAGGAAUUACACUUUGCUGUAAUACUUACCGUAGGUUGGAUGUAGGAGAAAAGAAAAAAAGUUGAAACCUGUGAUCGCAAGCCCUAAAAGAAACAAAAGGAGAGAUAUUAAUUAACUGCAAUUUUAAGCGGUGACAUAAGACAUUCAAGCUAAAACCUAUACGGUGAAAUUGUGACUUAUGUAACUUUACUGAAGGGAUUGGUCGUUUUUUUCCCCCGGUUUUUAUUUGCUUAAAUCGUUGAGUGCACUCGUGGAUGGAAAAAUCCUCACACUUGGAACAGAAGUCAAGAUGGCGAGCCUCCCAAACGGAAAAGACGACUUGGAGACGGACGGUUAAUACAGAUCUCGACCUCCGGAUUUUGACACGGUUGGAUGACCAUUUCUUCUUUUUUUUCCUUCUUUAAGCAGCAUUUGAAUACGUUCGUUCCCGGAAAAAGAAAGACUGGGUUGCUUUAUUUUAAUUUUCAUAGUUUAAUUAAACUGAACUCUGGUAAGAAUAGGAAAAGUUACCAUUUAUUGUUUUCAUUGCGUAGGUAUAUAUUUGAACCAAUUGUGAAUGUGUUGAAAAGAGGUUAUGUUUAAGUGUUGAUUGCUUGAUGUCCGAAAUGGUAAAUUGCAUUUUUUAUGUUUAAUUUGGGUGUUGACGAACUAAAAAAAAACCAUUUAAGAAGCCAAAAUCACUAUUUAUACGGAGUUAAACCAAAUAGUUACCUCAUCAUAUGCAGUCAAAUAUUAGAUAUAAAUUAAACGUUUAAAAUAAUUAGUUUCCAUUUAAUUAGAAGAGAAUUAAUGUCAAACUGGUGAAUAAUACUUUGACUGAACUCUAUACAGAACAAAAUUAGACAACUAAAAUAGGAAUUUAGAUCCCACCAAAAUACGAGAAGCUAACUAAAUAGCCCAAAACAUUUCAAUUACUGUUUUAUUUCACUUUAUGUCAAUUUCUGUAUGUGACUACGCUGUAGGAGCAUAUGCACAUUUAUUUUGUUUUUUCCCUUAUAAACUAAAGUUAAGAAAAAAAUUCAAACCGUUUUGUUUACUGCCUCCCAUUCCGUACCUAGAGCCUGGCUUAUGGACUAGUGUGGCAUUAUCAAAAGGUAGGCGCCACACAGGUGUUACACUAAGAACUGGACCUUGUGCUACUCAUCAAAAUGUAAGGGUGACCCAGAGUACAGGGAUCAGUACGUAUUUUGUGUGUCAUUAGUAUAGGCGUUGGUUUCACCUUAAGUGCAGAAAGUCAACUGAUUGUUUAGUCGUUGCUUGUACCAACUACCACAAAUGUCUAAUGUGUUCUAGCUGAAUCAGUGAAUGCUGUGAUUGAGUUUUGACUGGGAAUCUUUCAUAUCUAUAAAAAAAAAUCUGAUUUUUAGUUUUACAUACUAAGAAUUACAAAAAAAACAAAAGUUGUGCCAACUUAUUCUCUUUUGUUCAGAUGAUUUAUCUUUCAUAAGCGUAAAAACUUAAAUUUUAGUUAAACGUGCUAAGAAUUCAAAAUCGCAAAAUACGUGCCAUCUAAUUAUUAUAAAUGAAGAUAACAAAACAGUCAAUUAGCAUGUUUAUUUAAAACAUGAUAGUAAGAAAUAAUAGCAGACAGAUUUUGAGGAUCCCUGUGAGGAAUGACAGCAAACUUGACUGUGAAGGGCAGCUACCAGUUGUGGAACCUAUAGGGAGCUGGGGGUCACAGGCCUUGCUCAAGGGCCCCCACAUGCGCUGACACUGGGCUUGAACGGGUGGCCUUUGAACCAUGAGUAGAGAGGCUUAGCUCACACAGCCACAUGCUCAGGUGUAUGGAACAUAAGCUGAAUAAGGUGCUAACACAAAAACACUGUUUACAGAGUUUUGGCAGCGUCAUCAUCCAGAGGUGGCAGCAUGUAGCUCAGUGGGUUAAACCUCUGUGCCUCUGACCCAAAGAUUGCCUGUUCAAGCCCAACCAGCACUUGGGCACUGUUUUUGUACCCCUGGGCAUUGCGAUAGGGUGAAGCCUUAGCAUGCUAAACUCAAAUUUUAAAGUCUUUACACAUAUGAAAGAUAAAUCUAAAGAAAAGAGAAUAGGUUGGUACAACUUUUGUUGUUAGCAAUUCUUAGUAUGUACAACUAAGUUUUUAUAGAAAAAAAAUAUCUAAAAAAUGUAUCUAAAAAAAUUACUCAGCAUAACAAUAGGUGGUUUUCUUCAAAACUUAAAAUUUUGAGUUGCCUUCAAAACCCAAGUGCAAUAAGUUGCCUUCAAAUUUUGUCUUAACUUUUUGAUUUUUUACAGUGCACAGAUUGAUGCAGUAACUGACUACACUGUAAAAUGUAAUAUAAAAUUUAAUAGACAAUAUUGAGUUGAUACAACUUAAUUUUUAUAAACUUGCUAAUAACACUCAUCUUAAAUAAGUCGUGUACUUUUAGGUGUAAAAGCUUAAGCAAAUUAAUGUCCUUUAGCUGAAUUAACUCAAUAAUAGUAAGUAUGUAAACACUGUGGCAGUGGGGGGCGAAAUUUCAGUCCACUUUACACAGGACAACAGAUUAGAGGUUUUUUUUCUUCAUACACUGUAUACACUUACUCUUGGUUUGGUAGCUGAUUGAGUUAUAAUAAUCGUAUAAUAGAAAUGAUCAAGUAGUUUGUGUUUAUUUGUUGAUGUACAGUAUGAGUUAUUGUAAUAAACUGAAAUGUAAUCCAUUUUAGAAAAAUAAACCAAAAAAUUAAAUAAUACUAAUUUUGUCUCAAUGAAUAAAAAAAGAUAAAAGAACAAUAAAGUAGUACAUUUUGGUGAAGCACAUCAUCAGAAUUUAUUUAAAAAGCUCGGGCAUGCGCAGAGAACUGCUCAACUACUGUAUACUUGGCGCGUUUUACGGCAGUUAUUUCGUGGACAUGCCACAUCAAGUUUAGGUGCAGCCUGACGUCAUCUCAGCAGUUGUACUCAUUGUUGUCAUCAUACCGGUGACUGUGGUACUUGGCACACUAAUUUGGUGAGUACCUUUCUUUUCAUCCUUUUUCACAUUGUUUUACUUUUGUUAAUGAGCGCCAGUCUGUUGUGCUUGCAUGGGAGAGAACUUAAUUGUGCUAAACUCUGCCACAGCCUUUGACCAUUAUCGCAGAAAGUCUGUUGCUUUUGCCUCUUGUCCAUUGACACCAUUCCUUAAUUUGGGAUGAGAACAGGAAAGUGUUAAACUCACCCACAAUCUCAUUGUGAAUGAAACAGUGUGUUUAUAUAUUUGUCUUAAUGUAUAUGUUUGUAGAGUUGCGUGGAGCGAAUGUAAUGUGCAGAACAGUAAGUGAUCUACUAGCUGGCUUGCAAUAAUUUUCUCAGUUGUCUAGUCAAGGAGGGAUAAAAAAAAAUCUUUAAUGUUAGCUGCGCUGGAUCCCUGAUAACCUGCAUUUGAAAGUCGCACGCAUUCAGCGUCCACUGUCGACGUCAUGCUAAGUAGCGCAUGUUGAACAUGACCUGCUUUAGUAACAUAGGACAUGAUUCUCAAACAUUGUGGCAAACCGCUUUAUCUAAUCUAAUCAUACUCCUUUAUGUAAUUAUUUUAAGUACAGUUUUAAGGCCUAUCCUGACGAUAAUGACUUCAGCAGUGUUGCAAAAGCACUAAUCAGCAAGCACCCAUGCCUCACUGAGCCUGGUCCUCAGCCUGGAUGGUAUGGGUGGAAGAACAGCCUUAUGUUUAAGAUGGCAUAUUUUCGCACCAAGUUUUGAAAAGCUGGAUGUGAGGAUGUUGCAGUCAAUGUUGGUAAAAGAAGCAGAGCCAAUGCAGAGGGAGAGGCAUCUAGUAAGAAUAUCAAAUGGCCAAGAAGAGGUGAAGCUAAUUAUCUGCCUAAUUUGCCUCAAGGCCAUGAUGAAAAAAGCCUUGAAGAUGACAGAAAUAUUCUCCUAGAGGAGAUGAAGAAAAAACAACCAAAUGGGUCUCUCAUCUCAAAAUUAAUGGAUCUAACAUUCCCAUUGCGCCAACAAGAGAUAGUGAGAAACAAGGCUGUUGUCCAAGACAUGGCUGAACGUUGGCCAGCACUUUUCAUGGAGAGACAGGUAUUUGCUGAGUUUAACAGAAUUGCCAGUAAGAAUCUUGAAGGAGAUUUCUUUGAGGCUCUGGACCAAUACACACCAAGCUUCAUCCAACUGUUCAGUUGCAAAAAAGGAACUGUUGGAAAGAAACUGACAGAACUGAAGCAGCAAAUUGACUUGCUGGUGACUUAUAACUCUUUUUCAUCAUUGUUGUUCCUAUGUUGUUACUUCAAAGGUGUACCAUGAAAAGUUACCCCCCUGUCUGUGAGGCAUUGCAUCAGACAAGGAUGACCAGAUUCUCAAAAAAUUCCCUUAAUUUCCAAAAAUGUUUAUACACUAGCAUGGGGUGACGAAUGUAUAAAAACUCUGUUAAAGGUUUUUAGAUCAAACAACAUAGUCAACAAUAUAGUCAUUGUGUAUGAGGGGCCGUAUGAGACAUAAUUCAUACUUGGGUCUCACACACAGGAUCAUACUCUCAUACACACACAACUAUACCUGCUUUACAUGAACAAUCAUACUCUCA
Molecule: non-coding RNA, 4916 nt
Organism: Paramormyrops kingsleyae
Lineage: Eukaryota; Metazoa; Chordata; Actinopteri; Osteoglossiformes; Mormyridae
Source: RefSeq, a predicted model, not a curated record